CCUACGGGGUGCAGCAGUGGGGAAUAUUGGACAAUGGGCGCAAGCCUGAUCCAGCCAUGCCGCGUGAGUGAUGAAAGUCCUAGGAUUGUAAAGCUCUUUCACCGGUGAAGAUAAUGACGGUAACCGGAGAAGAAGCCCCGGCUAACUUCGUGCCAGCAGCCGCGGUAAUACGAAGGGGGCUAGCGUUGUUCGGGAUUACUGGGCGUAAAGCGCACGUAGGCGGAUAUUUAAGUCAGGGGUGAAAUCCCAGAGCUCAACUCUGGAACUGCCUUUGAUACUGGGUAUCUUGAGUAUGGAAGAGGUGAGUGGAAUUCCGAGUGUAGAGGUGAAAUUCGUAGAUAUUCGGAGGAACACCAGUGGCGAAGGCGGCUCACUGGUCCAUUACUGACGCUGAGGUGCGAAAGCGUGGCGAGCAAACAGGAUUAGAUACCCGAGUAGUC
Molecule: ribosomal RNA, 440 nt
Filed under: uncultured bacterium
Lineage: Bacteria
Description: bacterial SSU rRNA
Rfam family: Bacterial small subunit ribosomal RNA
Source: RNAcentral